This 573-nucleotide long non-coding RNA is filed under the name Nicotiana benthamiana. RNAcentral describes it as "long non-coding RNA (NBEN_LNC002472)". Lineage: Eukaryota; Viridiplantae; Streptophyta; Magnoliopsida; Solanales; Solanaceae. The record is from RNAcentral.
GCGUAAUAAUGUUGACCGGGUGCUGGCUUUGCUUUGUUGCGUUCGGCGCCCACCGCCCAAAAAGCGUCAGCUGGCAGACGAGUUAAAAAUAAUUGGUAUGGGCCGUUUGACGUUUCUUGUGGGCGGAGCUAGACUUGGCGGCGAUCCACUCUCCUCUUUAAUAUAGCUUCGAUAUUGUCGCCUGUGAUCUCUUCGUUUUUGUUAAUCUCCUUUUCUUCUUUAAUAUAUUUGCUUUGAGCUUAGUCUUUCAAUUGCACGGCAUUGAAGUUUCUUAGCCCCUUCGAUUGCUUGAAUGGGAGAAUUGAUCUUUCUCACCAUAAUUUAAAUACAUUCUUUGGUUGUUUGAAGGAGGCAAAUGAAUCUCCUCCUUAAAUAUAGUAUAACUUUAUAAUAGAGUCCCUUCCAGGAUGAUACUGUUGGUUGGAGAUCUAUCAUUCGUAUAGAUGAUUUGAGAUCGAUUCCCCUUUAAUGUUUUAGGUCUGAGCGUUUUGUACCCCAAGGGCAAAGGUUAUAGUGGUUUCGGAUUUUCAUGGAAUUCCAAAAACUUUAUAGUAUAAUAUUUUGUUGUAAUUU